RNAcentral lists this non-coding RNA (946 nucleotides) under Amphiprion melanopus (fire clownfish). RNAcentral's name for it is "partial 12S ribosomal RNA". It matches the Rfam family "Bacterial small subunit ribosomal RNA". Lineage: Eukaryota; Metazoa; Chordata; Actinopteri; Pomacentridae. The record is from RNAcentral.
CACAAAGGCUUGGUCCUGACUUUACUGUCGGCUCUAGCUAGACUUACACAUGCAAGUAUCCGCCCCCCUGUGAGAAUGCCCUCCAGUCUCCCGCCCGGAGACAAGGAGCCGGUAUCAGGCACGGUUAACACCAGCCCAUGACACCUUGCUUAGCCACACCCUCAAGGGACACCAGCAGUGAUAAAUAUUAAGCUAUAAGUGAAAACUUGACUUAGUUAAAGCUUAGAGGGCCGGUAAAACUCGUGCCAGCCACCGCGGUUAUACGAGAGGCCCAAGUUGACAGACUACGGCGUAAAGAGUGGUUAGGGAAACUCUUAGACUAAAGCCGAACGUCCUCAAAGCUGUUUAACGCUUCCGAGUUAAGAAGAUCCAUUACGAAAGUAGCUUUACCCAACCUGACCCCACGAAAGCUGUGAAACAAACUGGGAUUAGAUACCCCACUAUGCUCAGCCCUAAAAUUUGAUAGGCCAACUACGCCCCCUAUCCGCCCGGGUACUACAAGCAUCAGCUUAAAACCCAAAGGACUUGGCGGUGCUUCACAUCCGUCUAGAGGAGCCUGUUCUAGAACCGAUAACCCCCGUUAAACCUCACCCUCCCUUGUUAAUACCGCCUAUAUACCGCCGUCGUCAGCCUACCCUGUGAAGGACUAGAAGUGAGCAAGAUUGGUAAGACCCAAAACGUCAGGUCGAGGUGUAGUGUAUGAGAGGGGAAGAAAUGGGCUACAUUUCCUAAAUCAGGAAAUACGAAUAAUGAACUGAAAUAAGCAUUAGAAGGUGGAUUUAGCAGUAAGCAGUAAAACAGAGUGUUCUGCUGAAAUUUGGCAAUAAAGCACGCACAUAUCGCCCGUCACUCUCCCCGAGCUAAUACAAAAGCAAAUACCUAAAAAACUACAUCUGCAAAGGGGAGGCAAGUCGUAACAUGGUAAGCGUACCGGAAGGUGCGCUUG